RNAcentral lists this ribosomal RNA (429 nucleotides) under Bacteroidota bacterium. RNAcentral describes it as "Bacteroidetes bacterium partial 16S ribosomal RNA". It matches the Rfam family "Bacterial small subunit ribosomal RNA", at positions 355 to 776 of the family's 1533-position model. The record is from RNAcentral. Lineage: Bacteria; Pseudomonadati; Bacteroidota.
UAGGGAAUCUUCCGCAAUGGACGCAAGUCUGACGGAGCAACGCCGCGUGAGUGAAGAAGGAUUUCGGUUCGUAAAACUCUGUUGUUAGAGAAGAACAGCGCAUAGAGUAACUGUUAUGCGUGUGACGGUAUCUAACCAGAAAGCCACGGCUAACUACGUGCCAGCAGCCGCGGUAAUACGUAGGUGGCAAGCGUUGUCCGGAUUUAUUGGGCGUAAAGCGAGCGCAGGCGGUCAAUUAAGUCUGAUGUGAAAGCCCCCGGCUCAACCGGGGAGGGUCAUUGGAAACUGGUUGACUUGAGUGCAGAAGAGGAGAGUGGAUUUCCAUGUGUAGCGGUGAAAUGCGUAGAUAUAUGGAGGAACACCAGUGGCGAAGGCGACUCUCUGGUCUGUAACUGACGCUGAGGCUCGAAAGCGUGGGUAGCAAACAGG